This 451-nucleotide long non-coding RNA is filed under the name Vigna radiata. RNAcentral's name for it is "long non-coding RNA (VRAD_LNC000394)". Lineage: Eukaryota; Viridiplantae; Streptophyta; Magnoliopsida; Fabales; Fabaceae. The record is from RNAcentral.
GAAAAGAAGUUUAAGAAAGAAUGAAUGAGAAGAGGAUAGGGUGCAGGAUGUAGGCUACCAUAGAAAGUUAUAAUUCUUUAUGGAGAGAAGUGAUAGGAAAUUGAUUAUUUAAUUUUGGAUGGAUCCCAUGGUGUAAAAUAAAGUGAAUUAAACUUCUAGAAGGGUGUUGUAUUAGUUACAGGGGGUAGGAUUAUAAGAUUUAAGCAAAUUAAAUGAAAAUGUUGGCACAUGGUUUUAUUUUUUAUUUUUGAAAGAGAACGUUAUUAAUUAAAAGUGUUUUUAUUGGGUUAUUAAUUUGAAAGCUUAAACAUGUGAUUUGUUUAUAAUUUAAAGGUGUGUGAAUUGGGAAAGACCGAAACAUGAUUUCAUGGUUGCUUAUGGUAGUUUCAAAUGUCGAAUCUUUUGGUGAGAUUCUUAGUGUUUUAGAAUGAAAGUAGGAGCUCAGUCUUGG